GACGAACGCUGGCGGCGUGCUUAACACAUGCAAGUCGAACGGAAAGGCCCUGCUUUUGUGGGGUGCUCGAGUGGCGAACGGGUGAGUAACACGUGAGUAACCUGCCCUUGACUUUGGGAUAACUUCAGGAAACUGGGGCUAAUACCGGAUAGGAGCUCCUGCUGCAUGGUGGGGGUUGGAAAGUUUCGGCGGUUGGGGAUGGACUCGCGGCUUAUCAGCUUGUUGGUGGGGUAGUGGCUUACCAAGGCUUUGACGGGUAGCCGGCCUGAGAGGGUGACCGGCCACAUUGGGACUGAGAUACGGCCCAGACUCCUACGGGAGGCAGCAGUGGGGAAUAUUGCACAAUGGGCGGAAGCCUGAUGCAGCAACGCCGCGUGCGGGAUGACGGCCUUCGGGUUGUAAACCGCUUUCGCCUGUGACGAAGCGUGAGUGACGGUAAUGGGUAAAGAGGCACCCGCUAACUACGUG
RNAcentral lists this ribosomal RNA (468 nucleotides) under uncultured bacterium. Its description in RNAcentral is "partial 16S ribosomal RNA". It matches the Rfam family "Bacterial small subunit ribosomal RNA", at positions 28 to 507 of the family's 1533-position model. The record is from RNAcentral.